This 429-nucleotide ribosomal RNA is filed under the name uncultured prokaryote. RNAcentral describes it as "bacterial SSU rRNA". It matches the Rfam family "Bacterial small subunit ribosomal RNA", at positions 355 to 796 of the family's 1533-position model. The record is from RNAcentral.
UGGGGGAUAUUGCACAAUGGGCGCAAGCCUGAUGCAGCGACGCCGCGUGAGGGAUGACGGCCUUCGGGUUGUAAACCUCUUUCGCCUACGACGAAGCGACAGUGACGGUAGUAGGAGAAGAAGGACCGGCCAACUACGUGCCAGCAGCCGCGGUAAUACGUAGGGUCCGAGCGUUGUCCGGAAUUACUGGGCGUAAAGAGCUCGUAGGUGGUUUGUCGCGUUGUUCGUGAAAACUCACAGCUUAACUGUGGGCGUGCGGGCGAUACGGGCAGACUGGAGUACUGCAGGGGAGACUGGAAUUCCUGGUGUAGCGGUGGAAUGCGCAGAUAUCAGGAGGAACACCGGUGGCGAAGGCGGGUCUCUGGGCAGUAACUGACGCUGAGGUGCGAAAGUGUGGGGAGCAAACAGGAUUAGAUACCCGCGUAGUCC